CUUCUUCUUAAUGCCACGUCAUCAUUUGACGGAGAAAUUGGAUGGAAAACUGAGGUUUAGACACGGCUGAUGAAAAUUGUGAGUUGAAGGGUGUUUUUGAUGAAAUUGAAAGAAGAAGGAUUAACAUGAUGAUCGACCUAAAGUUGAUGGGGGUAAACUGAUUAGUCCUUAUUUUUAAAAUCUCCAAGUUUCAUUAAUUUGGAUCAAGUCAUUAUUAACAGUAGACUUUCAUCUUGUUAUCUUGAAAAAAAUGAACCAUGUCACGUCCCAAAACGAGUACAGAGAUUACUAUAAAAGGGUUAGCUAUCAAGCUUAGAAAUCACAUCUACUACUACCACUCACUACAAACAAGCUAGUUGUACGAAGAGCAGAAAUGGGAGCCUUGGGAAAGCCAAGGCCUUCUUCGCUCAUCAUUACCAUGUUUUAUUGUUUGACAUUCUGCUUCUUAGCUACUACUAGUGUUCAUGCUACUAUUCCUCUUUUACCUCCCAUAAUCCUACCUCCUAUUCCCAAGCUACCUCCUAUUCCCAUCCUACCUCCUUACAAGUCAUCACCACCUCCGCCACAGCCCAAGUCUUCACCACCUCCGCCUUCACCACCUCCGCCACAGCCCAAGUCUUCACCACCUCCGCCACCUCCGCCUUCACCACCUCCGCCACAGCCUAAGUCUUCACCACCUCCGCCACCUCCGCCUUCACCACCUCCGCCUUCACCACCUCCGCCUUCACCACCUCCGCCACCUCCGCCUUCACCACAGCCUAAGUCUUCACCACCUCCGCCACCGCCCAACUCAUCACCACCUCCGCCACCCUCACCCUCACCUCUACCUCCUUACAAGUCACCACCACCACCAUCUCCAUCACCAUCUCCAUCACAAUCUCUACCAUCUCUAUCACCACCAUCUCCAUCACCAUCUCUAUCACCAUCUCCAUCACCAUCUCCAAUACCAAAUCCAACAUCAUCUCCAUCACCAUCUCCAUCACCAUCUCCAACACCAUCUCUAACAUCAUCUCCAACACCAUCUCCAACACCAUCUCCAACACCAUCUCCAUCACCAUCUCCAACACCAUCUCCAACACCAUCUCCAACAUCAUCUCCAUCACAAUCUCCAAUACCAAAUCCAACAUCAUCUCCAACACCAUCUCCAUCACCAUCUUCAACACCUUCUCCAUCACCAUCUCUAACACCAUCUCCAACACCAUCUCCAUCAUCAUCUCCAACACCAUCUCCAAUACCAAAUCCAACACCAUCUCCAACACAAUCUCCAACACCAAAUCCAACAUCAUCUCCAUCACAAUCUCCACCGUCUCCAUCACCUCCUCCUCCUUACGUUUACAAGUCUCCACCUCCUCCAUCUCCAUCACCACCACCUCCAUAUGUCUACAAGUCCCCGCCUCCUCUUUCCCCAUCACCUCCUCCACCCUACAUUUAUAAGUCACCACCACCACCCUCACCCUCACCUCCACCUCCAUAUCAUUACAAGUCCCCACCUCCACCUUCCCCGUCACCACCACCUCCAUAUGUCUACAAGUCUCCCCCUCCACCAUCUCCUUCACCUCCUCCUCCCCAUACUCACUCUCCUCCCCCACACUACUACAAAUCCCCUCCACCUCCUCGCCACUACAAGUCCCCUCCACCUCCUCGCCACUACAAGUCCCCUCCACCACCACAUCCUCGCCACUACAAGUCCCCUCCACCUCCACCUCCACCUCCUCGCCACUACAAGUCCCCUCCACCUCCUCGCCACUACUAAGCCUAUUUACGGCUACAGUUACAUAAAACAACUUGAAUUUUCAUAUCUACCAUGUAAUAUCAUAUCUAUUGUAAAGCAUAACUCGGUGUAUUACUUAUUUAAAUAAAUAAAAGCGAAGCAAAUGAUUAAU
This 1883-nucleotide long non-coding RNA is filed under the name Fragaria vesca (wild strawberry). RNAcentral's name for it is "long non-coding RNA (FVES_LNC002111)". Lineage: Eukaryota; Viridiplantae; Streptophyta; Magnoliopsida; Rosales; Rosaceae. The record is from RNAcentral.